RNA transcript from Sorghum bicolor (sorghum), 866 nucleotides. It is a transcript of the gene named ribulose bisphosphate carboxylase large chain, with no coding region annotated. The transcript is spliced from 2 exons. NCBI's taxonomy places the organism in Eukaryota, Viridiplantae, Streptophyta, Magnoliopsida, Poales, Poaceae. The record is from RefSeq and is a predicted model, not a curated record.
UUUUGAGUAGACCCUGUCGUUGUGAGAAUUCUUAAUUCAUGAGUUGUAGGGAGGGACUUAUGUCACCACAAACAGAAACUAAAGCAAGUGUUGGAUUUAAAGCUGAUGUUAAGGAUUAUAAAUUAACUUACUACACCCCGGAGUACAAAACGAAGGAUACUAAUAUCUUGGCAGCAUUCCGAGUAACUCCUCAGCUCGGGGUUCCGCCUGAAGAAGUAGGAGCUGCAGUAGCUGCGGAAUCUUCUACUCGUACAUGGACAACUAUUUGGACUGAUGGACUUACCAGUCUUGAUUGUUACAAAGGAUGAUGCUAUCACAUCGAGCCCAUUCCUAGGGACCCAGAUCAAUAUAUCUGUUAUGUAGCUUAUCCAUUAGACCUAUUUGAAGAGGGUUUUGUUACUAACAUGUUUACUUCCAUUGUGGGUAACGUACUUGGUUUCAAAGCCUUACACGCUCUACAUUUGGAGGAUCUACGAAUUCCCCCUGCUUAUGUAAAAACUUUCCAAGGUCCACCCCACGGUAUCCAAGUUGAAAGGGAUAAGUUGAACAAGUACGGUCGUCCUUUAUUGGGAUGUACUAUUAAACCAAAAUUGGGAUUAUCCACAAAAAAUUAUGGUAGAGCGUGUUAUGAGUGUCUAUGCGAUGGAAUGGAAAGCAAAAGGCAAAGCCUCUGCUCAGCGAAGGCCCUUGCUGUCAGUCAUCAGCCCAGUGGGCUGGGACAAGCUUCUGCUGGCGAAAGCUUCCUCUCGUCUGAGGCUGCAGUCGCCCAUGACCUUUGCUGCCUCGGCCGCAUCCUCUGCGCCGUGGCGGAGGCUUCUUAUGACCCGUAUUACGCCACAUACAAAGCCACAUCAAUCAACUAUUAA